Molecule: long non-coding RNA, 3633 nt
Filed under: Olea europaea subsp. europaea
Lineage: Eukaryota; Viridiplantae; Streptophyta; Magnoliopsida; Lamiales; Oleaceae
Source: RNAcentral
AUGAACUCCAUCUGUAGUCAAUUCACAGAAAUUAAUAUAUUGUAACCGCAUUGUCAUGAAAUACUUGGGCUUAAUAGCACAAAACGUUUUUACGUUUGACACUUCUUGUAGAAAAGGUCAACACGUUUCAUUUUUUUGCACAAUUAAGCUAGACGUACAGGCAACCUUUGACAGAAGCUGUAUAGAAGUUUAAGUUAUUACUGACGUGGCUGGAAGAAAUGGGGGAAAAUUUUGGUUUCGACCUCAUAACCCGCCAAAUCUCUCUUCUCCUCCCAAAAUGGAAGCCCUAAAGUUGUAGUGGAGAUUAGCUGCUCCACUUCUUCGAACUGAAGAGCACCAUUUGCUGGACAACCGUCAUUCUUCCAGUCGUGCAGCGACUUCACUGUCUUCUCCAGUCCAGCGGCCAUAUUUGUGCAGCGACUUCACAGUCUUCUCCAGUCCAGCGGCCAUAUUUUCAGUGUUUGAGCAAUCGUGCAGCGACUUCACUGUCUUCUCCAGUCCGGCGGCCAUAGUUUCAGUGUUUGAGCAACCAUUUCUGAAUCUUCCAGCGGUGCGAGCGACUUCACUGUCUUCUCCAGUCCGACAGCGAUUUUUUCAGUGUUUGAGCAACCAUUUCUCAUUCUUCCAGACCAGAGGAGGUGAUUUUCGAUAUUAUGCUGUAAUUUUUUAUGUUGUCAAAAAAUUGUAUGAAUGUUGCUGGAAUCAUACCUUCAUAUGCAAAGGAAUGAACACACACGCACAUGUAAAUGUAUAGCUAUUGUUAGCAAAACCUUCAUAUGCAACAGAAUAUGGUGUAGCAUUUUGAACACACACACCACAGAAUGUUUAUUUGUACAUUUGGGAAAAAAGGGAUUGCUGUCAUUUUUAACAAAUCAGAGGAGGUGAUUUUCGGUAGCAUGCUGAAAUUUUUUUAUGCUGUCAAAAAAUUGUAUGAAUGUUGCUGGAAUCAGACCUUCAUAUGCAAAGGAAUGUACACACACACACACGUAAAUGUAUAACUAUUGUUGGCAAAACCUUCAUAUGCAACAGAAUGUGGUGAAGCUGUGACUUUAUUGAUUGAAUGCCAGAGUAUAUACCUCUUCCAUAUGGUAAUGUGAAGGAAAUUUUCGAAACUUGAAAAAAAAAGGGCUAUUAAGCACCGUAAUUGAUCACUUUGACGUUGCUAUGGUUUGAGACAUUUGUUUGCUUAACAAAAUUUGCUAUAUGAAAUCACAUCCCUGUUGGCUUAACAAUUUAUUGAAAAUCUUGUCCAGCCAAUUUGGUUGCAACACACGGAAGUAUGGAAGAUGCGAAUGAAGAUCCGUUAUUGUUGUCUGAUGAUGAGAUAGUUGGGGAUAAUAUCGAUAGUAUGGACAGAGAACCGUUAGGAGAAGAUAAAGAGGUUGCUCUGGAGGUAGGUAUGAUUUUCGAUGGUGAAAAAGAGUUGUUUGACUUUUAUAAGAGAUAUGCUUAUGCCGUCGGCUUUCCCGUGAAGAAAAGGAAUUCGAAAAAGGGUGACAAUGGAGUUGUUAGAUUUAUCACAUUCACAUGUAGCCGUGAAGGACGAAGAGGCAGUAACACAAGUAGUACUUUGAAGCCGCAACCAACAAGUCAAAUAGAUUGUAAAGCAAGAAUAUCUGCAUCUACAGAUAAAGUUGGGAAAUGGAGAAUUAACACCGUGUAUCUCGAGCAUAAUCAUAAAACAAGUCCUUCGAAGUCGAGGUUGUUUCGAUGUAACAGAGAAUUGACUGCAAAUGCGAAGAGAAAGCUUGAAUUAAAUGAUAUGGCAGGAAUUCCGUUGCACAAAAGUUACAACUCCGCAGUUGUGGAAGCAGGGGGGUAUAAUAAUUUGACUUAUGUUGAGAGGGAUUGUCGCAAAUAUAUUGAACAAGUAAGAAGGUUACGACUUGGAGAAGGAGACGCCGCAGCUUUACAAUCCUAAUUUUCAAAGAUGCAAGCACGGUGUUCGGGAUUUUAUUUCAGUAUGGAUUUGGAUGAUGAGUCACGGCUUCGAAAUAUAUUUUGGGCAGAUAACAGAUGUAGGCAAGCAUACAAGGAGUUUGGCGAUGUUGUUACCUUUGACACGACGUAUCUUACAAGUACGUACGACAUGCCUUUCGCUCCUUUUGUCGGAGUUAAUCACCAUGGACAAUCAAUACUGCUUGGUUGUGGUUUGUUGUCGAAUGAGAACACGGGUACAUUUGUGUGGCUGUUCAAGACAUGGCUCGAGUGCAUGCAUGGCCAGCCUCCCCACGGAAUAAUUACGGAUCAAGAUAGGGCCAUGCAGAAUGCGAUUGAGAUUGUGUUUCCAAAUACUAAACAUAAAUGGUGUUUAUGGCAUAUUAUGCAGAAGUUGCCAGAAAAAUUUGGCUAUCAUGUUGACAAAGGUUUGAUAUUCUCAUCUAUACACGAAUUGGUAUAUGAUUCCGAGAGUACUGAUGCAUUCGAAGAAGGUUGGAGAACGAUGGUCGAAAAGUUUGACUUGGAUGGCAAUGAUUGGUUGUCGGGCUUGUACGAUAACAGAAGUCGUUGGGUACCAUGCUUUCUGAAGACAACAUUCUGGGCAGGGAUGUCUACAACACAACGAAGUGAGAGCAUGAAUGCAUUUUUUGAUGGAUAUGUACAUUCGAAAACCUCAUUGAAGCAGUUUGUGGAACAGUAUGAAAGAGCACUUCGGAACAAGGUCGAGAAAGAGUUUCAGGCUGAUUUCAGGUCAUACUCACAAAUUGUGCCAUGUGCAACUGCCUUCGAAAUGGAAAAACAAUUUCAAUCAGUUUAUACAAUAUCCAAGUUUAAGGAAGUGCAAGAUGAGUUCGUAGGGAAGGUGUAUUGCGAUGUCGUUGCAGCUUCAGAUGGAUAUUUUGGGACAAAGUACGAGAUUCGAGAAUCUGUUGUAUAUCCUGAGGGCGGGAGGAAGAAAUCAUAUUUCGUGACAUUUCGAAUGAACACAAGUGAAGUUCUUUGCAGUUGCCAUUUGUUUGAGUUUCGAGGAAUUAUUUGUAGGCAUGCGAUCACAGUAUUAGAUCGUAAUGACAUCACGACAAUGUCGGAUAGGUAUAUAAUCAGCAGAUGGAGGAAAGACGUAAGCAGAGCACACACAAGAGUCGCGGUGAACUACGACGGGUUAGCUAGUACUCCAGAACAGAUUCGAUAUGAUGAUUUGUGUCAGACAUUUUCAGAGUUGGCGGACCUUGCUGCAAAUGAUGAAGGGCAGGCUCGUGUGGUAAAGGAUUGGAUAAAAUGUCAAACCGCAGAACUAAGGUCUUUAAAUUCGAGUAAUGGUAGUAAUGUUCUUUCCCAACCAAGUAUGCAUUUACAAGGCCAAUGUAAUAAUUCAGAAAGUCCUGGCGGCGUGAAUGUAUUUGAUCCUAAAACAUCGAAUAGAAAGGGCACGCCAAGGAAACUUAGGAGGAAAAGUGCGUUGAAGUCCACUUCAAAGAAGGCUAAGGUAAGUUGCUUUACUAAUCUCGUCAAAUAGAAAAGGAGCUUUGCUAUGAAAUCUUAUUUCUUUCCACGUACAUGCACAUGGUACUUCAAAUAAAUCCAAAGGAAAGAGACUACCACCUAGCCGUACCGAUAUGGAAGAGGCUACAUCGGUCCUUCAGUUAUCUGGACGAAUUGAAGAUUCUCAGCCUACCCAAUUUUCAUAUUCAU